Chiloscyllium plagiosum (whitespotted bambooshark) is the source of this 728-nucleotide non-coding RNA. The record is from RefSeq and is a predicted model, not a curated record. NCBI's taxonomy places the organism in Eukaryota, Metazoa, Chordata, Chondrichthyes, Orectolobiformes, Hemiscylliidae.
CAGAACGAAGUGCAACGGUUUGGCUUGACUCGCGCAGCGGGCGGGGCUUCCUUGAGCGCCAACGUUCCGCUGUUCGUUGAAACAUGGGGGCGUCCGGCCUUCGAACGGAAAAAGCCGGAGCACGCUAGUUCGAAUGUCGCACCGAUACCGUCCUAUUCAUGAUUUCCGGCCUGCGCGGGGUAUCUAUGAAGCCGCUCCACCUCACCUCAUCCAUUUCGCUAGUUUUAUUCCGCCCAGCUGGUGCCGGCCGAGCCAAGCUGCAACGUCGGCUUUGCGCAUGCUCCAAAUCAAAGGGCCGGCCAGCCUCAGUAAUUGAUGGUAGGUCGGGACCAAUAGGAAGAAGGGGCGGAGUCGGCGGACCGCCUGGAAGCUUCUGGUCCUCCAAGCAAUCACAGUGAAUGAGAAGCGGGAGUACUCCUGGAACUAUGUGGAGUGAGUACCUCUCACAGAAAGAUGCUCUGUCGGCAGCUGACAUUGCACAUGUGCAGAAUGGCACGAAGACCGUUGCAGAGACAUUGGCACAUGUGCAGAACAAAGUGUGCGAACCAAUCCUACUGGAAUCUACUAUUGCGAACAGAGAUAAGCAUUCUCAAAAAUACCAUUUCGUAAUUCUUCAGCAAUGUUAUAGCCAAAUUGCGUGUUUUUCAAGAACUACCCAUACUCUAUAUUCUGUUUUCUUUUAUUUGUGUUUCAACUAUAGUGUUUAAAUAAAUUCUGUUUUGUUUAAA